This 887-nucleotide ribosomal RNA is filed under the name uncultured Candidatus Saccharibacteria bacterium. Its description in RNAcentral is "bacterial SSU rRNA". It matches the Rfam family "Bacterial small subunit ribosomal RNA", at positions 571 to 1482 of the family's 1533-position model. The record is from RNAcentral. Lineage: Bacteria; Candidatus Saccharimonadota.
GUAGGUGGUAAUUUAAGUGAAUAGUGAAAUCUUGUGGCUCAACCAUAAGGCUAUUAUUCAAACUGAGAUACUUGAGAAUGAGAGAGGUCACUGGAAUUCCCUGUGUAGGAGUGAAAUCCGUAGAUAUAGGGAGGAACACCAAUGGCGUAGGCAGGUGACUGGCUCAUUUCUGACACUGAGGCACGAAAGCGUGGGGAGCGAACGGGAUUAGAUACCCCGGUAGUCCACGCCGUAAACGAUGGAUGCUAGCUGUUAGGAGUAUCGACCCUUCUAGUAGCGAAGCUAACGCGUUAAGCAUCCCGCCUGGGGAGUACGGUCGCAAGAUUAAAACUCAAAGGAAUUGACGGGGACCCGCACAAGUGGUGGAGCGUGUUCUUUAAUUCGAAGUUAAGCGAAGAACCUUACCAGGGCUUGACAUCCCGAGAAUUUCUGCGAAAGCAGAGAGUGCCUUUAUUGGAAUUCGGUGACAGGUGUUGCAUGGCCGUCGUCAGCUCGUGUCGUGAGAUGUUUGGUUAAGUCCAUCAACGAGCGCAACCCCUAUGAUUAGUUGAAUUUCCCUAAUCAGACUGCCCCGGUGACGGGGAGGAAGGAGGGGAUGAGGUCAGGUCAUUAUUGCCCUUACGCCCUGGGCUAGAAACGCGCUACAAUGGCUGGUACAAAGGGCUGCCAACCCGCGAGGGGGAGCAAAUCCCAUUAAAACCAGUCCCAGUUCGGAUUGCAGGCUGAAACUCGCCUGCAUGAAGCCGGAAUCACUAGUAAUCGUAGGUCAGCACACUACGGUGAAUACGUUCCCGGGUCUUGUACACACCGCCCGUCAAACCAUGGAAGUCACCAACACCCGAAGUCCUAACUUGUUUAGGCCUAAGNUGGGGGGGAUAACUGGGGUU